UACUGCAGUCGACGGCAGCCGGACUUCGGUCUGGUGGCGAGUGGCGAACGGGUGACUUUGUAUCGGAACGUGCCUGGUAGUGGGGGAUAACUAGUCGCUUGAUUAGCUAAUACCGCAUACGACCUACGGGUGAAAGCAGGGGACCUUCGGGCCUUGUGCUAUCAGAGCGGCCGAUAUCUGAUUAGCUAGUUGGUGGGGUAAAAGCCCACCAAGGCGACGAUCAGUAGCUGGUUUGAGAGAACGACCAGCCACACUGGAACUGAGACACGGUCCAGACUCCUACGGGAGGCAGCAGUGGGGAAUUUUGGACAAUGGGGGCAACCCUGAUCCAGCAAUGCCGCGUGAGUGAAGAAGGCCCUCGGGUUGUAAAGCUCUUUUGUCAGGGAAGAAAAGGUCGUGGCUAAUAUCCACGGCUCAUGACGGUACCUGAAGAAUAAGCACCGGCUAACUACGUGCCAGCAGCCGCGGUAAUACGUAGGGUGCAAGCGUUAAUCGGAAUUACUGGGCGUAAAGCGUGCGCAGGCGGUUGAUUAAGUUUGAUGUGAAAUCCCCGGGCUUAACCUGGGAACUGCAUUGAAUACUGGUCAGCUAGAGUGUGUCAGAGGGGGGUAGAAUUCCACGUGUAGCAGUGAAAUGCGUAGAGAUGUGGAGGAAUACCGAUGGCGAAGGCAGCCCCCUGGGAUAACACUGACGCUCAUGCACGAAAGCGUGGGGAGCAAACAGGAUUAGAUACCCUGGUAGUCCACGCCCUANACGAUGUCAACUAGUUGUCGGGUCUUAAUUGACUUGGUAACGCAGCUAACGCGU
RNAcentral lists this ribosomal RNA (807 nucleotides) under uncultured bacterium. RNAcentral describes it as "bacterial SSU rRNA". It matches the Rfam family "Bacterial small subunit ribosomal RNA", at positions 52 to 860 of the family's 1533-position model. The record is from RNAcentral.